GGUUGGUCCGAGUGCAGUGGUGUUUACAACUAAUUGAUCACAACCAGUUACAGAUUCCUUUGGUCCUUCUCCACUCCCACCCCCACCUCUUCACUUGACCAGCCUUAA
This 108-nucleotide Y RNA is filed under the name Propithecus coquereli (Coquerel's sifaka). RNAcentral describes it as "Y RNA (ENSPCOG00000000313.1)". It matches the Rfam family "Y RNA". From Rfam's summary of the family: Y RNAs are components of the Ro ribonucleoprotein particle (Ro RNP), in association with Ro60 and La proteins. The Y RNAs and Ro60 and La proteins are well conserved, but the function of the Ro RNP is not known. The record is from Rfam by way of RNAcentral. Lineage: Eukaryota; Metazoa; Chordata; Mammalia; Primates; Indriidae.